This 440-nucleotide ribosomal RNA is filed under the name uncultured bacterium. RNAcentral describes it as "partial 16S ribosomal RNA". It matches the Rfam family "Bacterial small subunit ribosomal RNA", at positions 338 to 795 of the family's 1533-position model. The record is from RNAcentral.
CCUACGGGGUGCUGCAGUGGGGGAUAUUGCACAAUGGGGGGAACCCUGAUGCAGCGACGCCGCGUGGGUGAAGAAGCGCCUCGGCGCGUAAAGCCCUGUCAGCAGGGAAGAAAAUGACGGUACCUGAAGAAGAAGCCCCGGCUAACUACGUGCCAGCAGCCGCGGUAAUACGUAGGGGGCAAGCGUUAUCCGGAUUUACUGGGUGUAAAGGGGGCGCAGACGGCGAGGCAAGCCAGGAGUGAAAGCCCGGGGCCCAACCCCGGGACUGCUCUUGGAACUGCGUGGCUAGAGUGCAGGAGGGGCAGGCGGAAUUCCUGGUGUAGCGGUGAAAUGCGUAGAUAUCAGGAGGAACACCGGUGGCGAAGGCGGCCUGCUGGACUGCAACUGACGUUGAGGCCCGAAAGCGUGGGGAGCAAACAGGAUUAGAUACCCCAGUAGUC